Molecule: transfer-messenger RNA, 375 nt
Filed under: Rhodobiaceae bacterium
Lineage: Bacteria; Pseudomonadati; Pseudomonadota; Alphaproteobacteria; Hyphomicrobiales; Rhodobiaceae
Rfam family: Alphaproteobacteria transfer-messenger RNA
About the family: Bacterial tmRNA, also known as 10Sa RNA or SsrA, is named for its dual tRNA and mRNA-like properties. Its role is to liberate the mRNA from a stalled ribosome.
Source: RNAcentral
CAUCUUUUCGUGGCCGCAAUCGCACACUAUAUUGCACUUUGCCGGCUCCGGUCGGCUAUGGCGAUACAGGAUAGUCGUAAUAAACCUAUCGGACCCGGGGGCGGUACCCGGCGCCUCCACCAAAGCCCGGCGGUUCCGUCUUGAAAUGGGACAGCCGGGUUUCGGCGGGGGCGAAACAGGAUCGACGAGGGUGUAAAGGGCUGGUCUUCGCUCGGCAUGGUACCACCGUCAUCGGGCCAAACCUAUAGUUGCGAAUGACAACUAUGCUCCGGUUGCUCAGGCUGCGUAAGGCAGUCUGAAAUGCCGAAAUCAAGCCCUGGCGGUUAGCCCCGUCAGGCGGGGUUCCGGGGCACCUGGCAACAGAAGCCCCACCUU